GGGGCCUUAGCUCAGCUGGUAGAGCGCUGCCUUUGCAAGGCAGAUGUCAGGGGUUCGAAUCCCCUAGGCUCCA
RNAcentral lists this transfer RNA (73 nucleotides) under Streptomyces sp. DvalAA-14. It matches the Rfam family "tRNA". Rfam says of the family: Transfer RNA (tRNA) molecules are approximately 80 nucleotides in length. The record is from Rfam by way of RNAcentral. RNAcentral also lists the same sequence under 4 other names. Lineage: Bacteria; Bacillati; Actinomycetota; Actinomycetes; Kitasatosporales; Streptomycetaceae.